UAUUCUGGUGUUAUUACCAAAUGUUUAGCAGUAUGAAACCUAUAAUAUUAUAUACCAUACUAUAUACCCUAUUUUACUUAUAAAGUUAAUAAUCUGUAAAGUAAUUUGUAAAAAUUUUUUAAUUGUAAAAUUGCUACAUGAGAAGACAAGUUGUUAGAUGAAAUUCAAAUAUUCUCUAUGUUUGUGUUGUGUAGGUCAAAAAAUAAUAAACAAAGAUGAUAUUGAUUGUGAUGACCAAGAGAUUCAUUUUAAGACACAUCAAUCUUCAUCAUCUUUAAAUAAAAAGGAUAAACAUUAUGGAUUUCCAUUAUCUCAAGCAAACUUUCAAUAUUAUGUGUUGCUUCUCUUAAAUGAGAUAAAAACCCAAGGAUGCAAAAAACUUAAUAUAAAAUAGUGUGAAGAAAAAGUAGUAACUGAAAUAAACAGCAUAAUAGAAUUUGAUAAGUUUGACUCAGCACUUGACAAUGUUUCAUCUAGUAACUCAGUAGUAUCUCUGCAGUUAAACAAAGAGUUCAAAAUAUUAGUGGUAAGAACUGUCAAAAACUUGUGAUAGCUAUGAUGAAGAGAUUUAUGACAAAUUCGCUCAUGGCCAAAUCUAAUAUGGCAGCUGGAAAAGGCAAAGGAUCUUUUUAGCCUAACUAAGCUAUACAACUUAAUAAAAGUUUGUGCAUCGACUUCUCACGAAUCAUACACAGAGUCGAUUGUCGAUGCAAUAAUUGCUGAUUCGUGAAAACGGGCAACUUUUGCUUGUCUUAAAGUGCCUUAUAUCCAUCGUUAUAAUAUUACUUUGUUUGUAAAUUGUUUUAAAAAAUAAAUUUUAAAAUAACUUUUAAAUAAA
Hydra vulgaris (swiftwater hydra) is the source of this 838-nucleotide non-coding RNA. The record is from RefSeq and is a predicted model, not a curated record. Lineage: Eukaryota; Metazoa; Cnidaria; Hydrozoa; Anthoathecata; Hydridae.